Molecule: ribosomal RNA, 253 nt
Filed under: uncultured Lactobacillus sp.
Lineage: Bacteria; Bacillati; Bacillota; Bacilli; Lactobacillales; Lactobacillaceae
Description: partial 16S ribosomal RNA
Rfam family: Bacterial small subunit ribosomal RNA
Source: RNAcentral
UACGUAGGUGGCAAGCGUUGUCCGGAUUUAUUGGGCGUAAAGCGAGCGCAGGCGGAAAGAUAAGUCUGAUGUGAAAGCCCCCGGCUUAACCGAGGAAUUGCAUCGGAAACUGUGUUUCUUGAGUGCAGAAGAGGAGAGUGGAACUCCAUGUGUAGCGGUGGAAUGCGUAGAUAUAUGGAAGAACACCAGUGGCGAAGGCGGCCGCCUGGCCUGUUACUGACGCUGAGGCACGAAAGCGUGGGGAGCAAAUAGG